This 464-nucleotide ribosomal RNA is filed under the name uncultured bacterium. RNAcentral describes it as "partial 16S ribosomal RNA". It matches the Rfam family "Bacterial small subunit ribosomal RNA", at positions 338 to 795 of the family's 1533-position model. The record is from RNAcentral.
CCUACGGGAGGCAGCAGUAGGGAAUUUUCGUCAAUGGGCGCAAGCCUGAACGAGCAAUGCCGCGUGAACGAGGAAGGUCUUCGGAUCGUAAAGUUCUGUUGACGGGGAAAAAGAGCGGAGAGAGGAAAUGGUCUCCGAUUGAUAUUACCCUUCGAGGAAGUCCCGGCUAACUACGUGCCAGCAGCCGCGGUAAUACGUAGGUGGCGAGCGUUAUCCGGAAUGAUUGGGCGUAAAGGGUGCGUAGGCGGCCUGCUAAGUCUGGAGUGAAAGGUACCGGCUCAACCGGUACAGGCUCUGGAAACUGGCGGGCUAGAGAGCAGGAGAGGGCGGUGGAACUCCAUGUGUAGCGGUAAAAUGCGUAGAUAUAUGGAAGAACACCAGUGGCGAAGGCGGCCGCCUGGCCUGUGACUGACGCUGAGGCACGAAAGCGUGGGGAGCAAAUAGGAUUAGAUACCCGGGUAGUC